UAUAUAUAUAUAUAUAUCUGUUAAUAGGAAACAAUGAAAAGAACAUGUGUGGGUAUAUGGAAAUGUAGAGCGUGUCAAAAGACUGUAGCUGGUGGAGCAUAUGUUUACAGCACAACUGCAGCUGCAACUGUAAGGAGUGCAGUUAGACGUUUAAGAGAAAUGAAAGAACAAUAACUUGUAUUAGAAUUUCUGUGGAAAUACAUAAUUUAACAGAAAA
This is a long non-coding RNA of Centruroides sculpturatus (bark scorpion), 217 nucleotides long. RefSeq lists it as uncharacterized. NCBI's taxonomy places the organism in Eukaryota, Metazoa, Arthropoda, Arachnida, Scorpiones, Buthidae. The record is from RefSeq and is a predicted model, not a curated record. The transcript is spliced from 2 exons.